Long non-coding RNA from Oncorhynchus tshawytscha (Chinook salmon), 523 nucleotides. NCBI's taxonomy places the organism in Eukaryota, Metazoa, Chordata, Actinopteri, Salmoniformes, Salmonidae. The record is from Ensembl.
AGAGGAGAUACAUGCAAAUCCAUGUUAUUUCUAAGGUGAUUGUUAGUUUAAAGUAUAUGCAGUGAUUCUUGAAUAUAACUAUAGCCUAACAGAUACCGCAAUUGUUUUCUACCAACAGGAAAGAACCGUUAGUACAGCAUGCCAAACUGACCCCCUGGGUGCCAGAGUGUUCCUGUGCUGCGUGGAGAAGAGGUCCACUGGAACCCUCAAUAAAGAGGUCCACCAGGACCCUCACUAAAGAGGUUUACCGGGACCCUCACUAAAGAGGUCCACCGGGACCCUCAUUAAAGAGGUUCACCGGGACCCUCAAUAAAGAAGAUUACCGGGACCAUCACUAAAGAGGUCCACCGGGACCAUCACUAAAGAGUUCCACCGGAACCCUCACUAAAGAAGAUUACCGGGACCAUCACUAAAGAGGUCAACUGGUCCCAUCACUAAAGAGGUCCACUGGGACCAUCACUAAAGAGGUCAACUGGUCCCAUCACUAAAGAGGUCCACUGGGACCCUCAUUAAAGAGGUUCAC